UACGCAAAGAUUUCCUGAACGGAAAAGUGGC
RNAcentral lists this non-coding RNA (31 nucleotides) under Mus musculus (house mouse). Lineage: Eukaryota; Metazoa; Chordata; Mammalia; Rodentia; Muridae. The record is from RNAcentral.